This 502-nucleotide long non-coding RNA is filed under the name Anser brachyrhynchus (Pink-footed goose). RNAcentral's name for it is "lncRNA (ENSABRG00000003835.1)". Lineage: Eukaryota; Metazoa; Chordata; Aves; Anseriformes; Anatidae. The record is from RNAcentral.
CCACAGAGAUGGGACCAGUACACUGAGCACAGCCACGCAUCGAACCUGUAUUUCAUGUGUAAUAUAUGGCCUCACCUAAAUGUGUAGAUGCACCUGUGGGACUGGUUGAGCAUGGGCUGCUCUUUGUUUAGCAGAGAAAUUGGUUGGUUGCAUGUGACUGAGGAGAGCAAGAAGAACUACUGAUUCUGCAGCAGAGGCGUUAAUGGACAUUUUAUUUUGUUUCAUUCAUUUACUGAUGACAGUUAUGAGGACAAAUAUGUUGGAGGAAACAUCAAGACUUUACUUCAACUCACAAAAGAUCUUCCUUUCAUUUGGUCAAAUUGCAUAUCCUCAUUACCCUGCAAUGAUGCCAAAACUUUUGCAGCACUGUACACUUCUAAUCCUGAUACUACUGAGAUGUAAACAGACAUCCAACUCAAAUGGUGGUUACCCCUUCCACCAACAGUUACACUGUUGGAAAGGUGUUUGGAUCUUCCAAGGGAGAAAGGCACAUCCUUGCUGA